GGAAGGCAGAAGCUCCAAGCUUGCCCAUUUUGGGCAGAGGGAUCCUCCUCGCAUCAUCACCACUGAAAGCCUGAGAUGCUACAAAACAGUUAGUGACCUGUCAAAGCUUUCAGGAAGGAGUUAAGAACUAUUUUUGGAUGUCACAGAGCCAGCAGGAGACUUGAAGACACUCACUUUCAUCAAGAGUUAUGGAAAUCAAAGGAGUUAAGAAAAUCCCUGACCAGGUGGACAGCCUGGAUGAUGACAAUCCUCACUGAUGAGAUGUAUCUCCUCCACAGUACUCCCGAGGGACAUAUAUCAAAUGGAAACAACUUCAUUAUUGCCACAUGACCAUGGACAGAGGCCAAACACAACAAAUAUAAUUUCUACAGCUCUAUGAAACCUGCAAGGUUAUGCAUCUUCCUGUUUGCAUCCCAAGUCAUUUACACCAGAGACCUGUCAGAAGAAUCUCCAUGUCCAGACUGGAGCAGAAAGGUUUUACUGAUAUCAUACGAGAAAGCUGCUGGCCAACUGGUAGCACAAGAGAAGAAUUACCUGGAUAUCACCUUUAUUCAAACACAGAUAAAGUGCAACCAAAGCAGGGAAGACAAACAAAAGAUUUAAGGCAUUUAUGGAGAAGAACUAGACAAGAAACCACAGCCUGGUUGUAAUGAAGAAGUCAAACUGGACAACUAUCAACAUUUAUGCUUUGUUCCUACAGUGAAAACAUGUAUACAUGCAUAUAGCCUGACUUUGCUGAGUAUGUCCUGCUUGAACCUGAGGUUGGCUUUAUGACACAGUGUGUAGACACCUGAGUUACUGUGGACACCUUGGACAUCUUAGCUGAAUGUUACCCCAGAAACAGCAGGAGACCAUUGUAUUUGUACUUUCCUGGUACAUGAACUACCCUAUAUAUCUUUAUAUUAAACUUUUGCAUGCCACUA
Long non-coding RNA from Pogoniulus pusillus (Red-fronted tinkerbird), 923 nucleotides. RefSeq lists it as uncharacterized. The record is from RefSeq and is a predicted model, not a curated record. The transcript has 5 exons. Lineage: Eukaryota; Metazoa; Chordata; Aves; Piciformes; Lybiidae.